CGCCUGCAGCUUCUGAUUGGCUGCGCCUCUCUCAGCUGUCGCGAGCGAGAGGCUGGGACGCAGAGUUACCAUAGUAACCGAUGAGGUUCGCCCAGAUCGCGUCUCUCUAAGGCCUUGGAGAGCUUAGCAACCGCCUAGGGCCGCUGGGCGGGUGGGUGCCGCGCUUGCCGCCCCUCGCGCAGUCCUCCACCCCCACGCCCCCGCCAGAGGUAGUAGCUGAGUCACUCACUGAGGGGCCGCUGGCGCGGCCACUCGCGGUCCCUGACAGACACUAAGGUCUCGGGCGCCCCCCAGAGGCUCUCUUUCCUUCGCUGACAUCUUCACGGCCUCGGGGCCAUGGUCCCCGCCGGUCCUAAAGACUGCCACUGCGUUCUGACUCUGCCCUCACUCUGUUUCUACUCCGUGUUCUGGAUCCAUUUUAUUCCAGUCCUCUCCUCCAUCUCCCCACGGUCCCCUCGCUGGGGUUGCAGUGAGCUCCCAAGAAUGAAAACGCGCGUCAGUGUGUAGGAGCCGCGGCCGCAUGAAUGAGCCGCCGCACGAGUACUACGCGCGCCUAUAAAAGCGGCGGCGCCAGCCCGGCUGCAGGAGGCGAGCGGGAGCGGGCGCGACGCGGCCCGACAGGUAAGUGGGACUGACCGGCCGACGGGCUACCGAUGGACCGAUGUACGGACACGGACGGGAGGGCAAUGAGGAGACCGGCAGGCGGCAGGUUGGAGGCCCCCUACGGGGUGGGGUUGGGAGCAGGGUGGGGGACGAGGAUCCCCACGCAGCUGGUGGAGCCGGCCGGAGGCGUACCCAGAACCCCGUGCAGCAACCUGCCCGCGCCCGGAUGAAGACGCAGCCACUUCGGAGGAGCAUCGAAGAGAGGACGGACCCCAGAGUCCCCGCGACAUUUCCUGGGGCUCCUGCGCCAUCCUCCCAAGAAAGUGGGGCGAAGGUGCUGACGCCCCAGGCGAGGCGCCCCCUCCUCCCCCUCCCCGCAGCGCGGUGACUCAGCCUCGCUGCCCCCGGCCGGCUGAGCCGGGCCGCCGGCAAAAGACAGACGCCCACCUUCCCGCCGACCCAGCCACGGCUCUCUCGGGACCCCUGCCCAGCAUCCAGCCGGGCACCCCCUCCCCGUCCCAUCCCGUCGGGCUAGUCCCUUAGCGCCCCCGAAUUCCCGCCUCUGCGCGAGGAGCUGUCCUCUCAGGACCAGGCGGGGGCGGGGCCUCAGACGGACUGCCCCGCCCCACCCCCACUGACCCCUCCCCCGCCGCCGGAAGUGCCUCUCCGCAGGGACAAAUUUGACGUCACAGGGCUUUGACGUCAAGGGCCGCGUGCCUGUCUGCAAGCGCUGGGCCGAGAAAGGCGGGAGACGUGGGGGAGGAAGAGCAGCAGCGCCCCCAGCUGCGGGCGACGGAGGCACCCCCGCCCGGGCAGCGCGCCGGCACCUUGGCUCUAGACUGCUUACUGCCCGGGCCGCCCUCAGUAACAGUCUCCAGUCACGGCCACCGACGCCUGGCCCCGCCCCAGGACCGCGGACCCGGCCACCUGCCGCGCCCCCGGCCCCUCUGUCCCCCAGGGUCCCUCAGCUCUGCGCGCGCUGCCCGCGCCGCCGCUGUCCGCGGUGCUGAUCCAGCGCAGGCGCUACGAUCCGGCCGUCAGGUCCCUGGUCACCAGAGGCUGCGAGGGCCGGCCGGCUUACACACACAUCGCACAGCCCCCGAGCCAGGUCCCCGUCGCGCGCGCUACCCCCGCUCCCCCCUUCCCCAAAAUUCUCUGCCCUGAAGACUGCCUAACGGGAGCUGCCGCGGUGCCGUCAGCAGCGCGCGCCCCGCCCCCGCGUCUCCAGGGCAACCGUGGCUUUCGAUUGUUACUGUGGGAACCGGAGGUAACAGUCUACAGCCAUGGUCGCCCCGCAGCACGCCCACGCGCCGCACCGCGCUGGGAUCUGCCAGCCCCGGAGGGGGGAGGCCAGGAGGAGCAGGAGGAAGCGGGGGCGGCAAGUCAAGAUCGGAUGUAUCUGCUGGGGCGGAGGGAGGUGCGGUUCUGCGGGGCGGGCUACCGUAGGGUCUGACUGCUUACGCAUCUACCAAGGCAGAGAAGGCACGGUCUGGGGCGUAUGUCUGACCGUCCGCCUCAGUGACCAUCCUGUUUUCUUAGCCAAGAAGGUUGCAGCCAGGGGAUGGCGAAAGAAGGGGUAGCUCUGAGAUUUGUGUUCUUUUUAUCUCCUCGGUGGGAGGGAGACUACUGGGACCUGAAGGCCUGGGGACUGAAUGGAAUAGACGGAGGAAAGUUUUUCUAAAUAUGCCACAACUUCAUUCUUCCAGGACCCCCUCGCUGGGUAGGCAGAAAGCAAGACUAAUCCUCGAACUCAUCCUGAUGGAGUCACAGCCUUCCCUCACUCUUCUCCCCACUCGUUCUUCCUCUAUUCCGUGUAGGAUGAUAAGGAUUCCCAAGCCUCAGGAAGCCAGUGUGCUUCUAAAGGCUUGGGCUUCUACCCGAGGUUGAGCAUCAUCCCACCCUUCAAGCUGGUCGUUCAGAGGGUCUACAGCAGUUCUGGAGGAGGAAGCAGAGAACCCAAGAUGCCAGAGUCUGACAGGAGACUAGCACACUACCCUCAGGGAUCAGGACGGAGGAACCCUAACUCUGUAGCCCAGGCAGAACCAUGCCAGGGGACCUCUUCCCAAAACUUCUCAGAUGUAAACUCUUCCAACUCAGCCACCAAGGCCUCCUUCCCUUCAGCUUGGGACUUAAGACUUCUACCAAACGUGUGCACUCACAAGCUUGUCCUGGAGA
Long non-coding RNA from Neofelis nebulosa (Clouded leopard), 2778 nucleotides. RefSeq lists it as uncharacterized. Lineage: Eukaryota; Metazoa; Chordata; Mammalia; Carnivora; Felidae. The transcript is spliced from 3 exons. The record is from RefSeq and is a predicted model, not a curated record.